Molecule: ribosomal RNA, 733 nt
Filed under: uncultured fungus
Lineage: Eukaryota; Fungi
Description: eukaryotic LSU rRNA
Rfam family: 5.8S ribosomal RNA (bases 243-396)
Source: RNAcentral
AGGAUCAUUAUUGAAUAAACCUGAUGUGGCUGUUAGCUGGCUUUUUCAAAGCAUGUGCUCGUCCGUCAUCUUUAUCUCUCCACCUGUGCACAUUUUGUAGUCUUUGGAUACCUCUCGAGGCAACUCGGAUUUUUAGGAUCGCCAGUCGGCUUUCCUUUCAUUUCCAAGACUAUGUUUUUAUAUACACCAAAGUAUGUUUAAAGAAUGUUAUCAAUAGGACAUUGUUUCCUAUAAAAUUAUACAACUUUCAGCAACGGAUCUCUUGGCUCUCGCAUCGAUGAAGAACGCAGCGAAAUGCGAUAAGUAAUGUGAAUUGCAGAAUUCAGUGAAUCAUCGAAUCUUUGAACGCACCUUGCGCUCCUUGGUAUUCCGAGGAGCAUGCCUGUUUGAGUGUCAUUAAAUUCUCAACCUUCCAGCUUUUAUUAGCUUGGUUAGGCUUGGAUGUGGGGGUUGCAGGCUGAGGUCAGCUCUCCUUAAAUACAUUAGCGGAACUUUUGUGGACCAUCUAUUGGUGUGAUAAUUAUCUACGCCGUGGAUGGUAAUGCAGCUUUUUGAAGUUCAGCUUCUAAUCGUCGUUGGACAAAUUUGACAAUUUGACCUCAAAUCAGGUAGGACUACCCGCUGAACUUAAGCAUAUCAAUAAGCGGAGGAAAAGAAACUAACAAGGANUCCCCUAGUAACUGCGAGUGAAGCGGGAAGAGCUCAAAUUUAAAAUCUGGCAGUCUUUGGCUGU